GCUUACCAUGCAAGUCGAACGGCAGCACGGGUGCUUGCACCUGGUGGCGAGUGGCGAACGGGUGAGUAAUACAUCGGAACGUACCUUGUAGUGGGGGAUAGCUCGGCGAAAGCCGGAUUAAUACCGCAUACGCUCUGAGGAGGAAAGCGGGGGACCUUCGGGCCUCGCGCUACAAGAGCGGCCGAUGUCAGAUUAGCUAGUUGGUGAGGUAAAAGCUCACCAAGGCGACGAUCUGUAGCUGGUCUGAGAGGACGACCAGCCACACUGGGACUGAGACACGGCCCAGACUCCUACGGGAGGCAGCAGUGGGGAAUUUUGGACAAUGGGCGAAAGCCUGAUCCAGCAAUGCCGCGUGUGUGAAGAAGGCCUUCGGGUUGUAAAGCACUUUUGUCCGGAAAGAAAUCCUCUGGGUUAAUACCUCGGGGGGAUGACGGUACCGGAAGAAUAAGCACCGGCUAACUACGUGCCAGCAGCCGCGGUAAUACGUAGGGUGCAAGCGUUAAUCGGAAUUACUGGGCGUAAAGCGUGCGCAGGCGGUUUUGUAAGACGGAUGUGAAAUCCCCGGGCUUAACCUGGGAACUGCAUUCGUGACUGCAAGGCUAGAGUAUGGCAGAGGGGGGUAGAAUUCCACGUGUAGCAGUGAAAUGCGUAGAGAUGUGGAGGAAUACCGAUGGCGAAGGCAGCCCCCUGGGCCAAUACUGACGCUCAUGCACGAAAGCGUGGGGGAGCAAACAGGAUUAGAUACCCUGGUAGUCCACGCCCUAAACGAUGUCAACUAGUUGUUGGGGAUUCAUUUCCUUAGUAACGUAGCUAACGCGUGAAGUUGACCGCCUGGGGAGUACGGUCGCAAGAUUAAAACUCAAAGGAAUUGACGGGGACCCGCACAAGCGGUGGAUGAUGUGGAUUAAUUCGAUGCAACGCGAAAAACCUUACCUACCCUUGACAUGUACGGAAUCCUGCUGAGAGGUGGGAGUGCUCGAAAGAGAACCGUAACACAGGUGCUGCAUGGCUGUCGUCAGCUCGUGUCGUGAGAUGUUGGGUUAAGUCCCGCAACGAGCGCAACCCUUGUCCUUAGUUGCUACGCAAGAGCACUCUAAGGAGACUGCCGGUGACAAACCGGAGGAAGGUGGGGAUGACGUCAAGUCCUCAUGGCCCUUAUGGGUAGGGCUUCACACGUCAUACAAUGGUCGGUACAGAGGGCUGCCAAACCGCGAGGUGGAGCUAACCCCAGAAAACCGAUCGUAGUCCGGAUCGCAGUCUGCAACUCGACUGCGUGAAGCUGGAAUCGCUAGUAAUCGCGGAUCAGCAUGUCGCGGUGAAUACGUUCCCGGGUCUUGUACACACCGCCCGUCACACCAUGGGAGUGGGUUUUGCCAGAAGUAGGUAGCCUAACCGCAAGGAGGGCGCU
RNAcentral lists this ribosomal RNA (1408 nucleotides) under Pandoraea sp. AI-S260. RNAcentral's name for it is "bacterial SSU rRNA". It matches the Rfam family "Bacterial small subunit ribosomal RNA". The record is from RNAcentral. Lineage: Bacteria; Pseudomonadati; Pseudomonadota; Betaproteobacteria; Burkholderiales; Burkholderiaceae.